RNAcentral lists this long non-coding RNA (216 nucleotides) under Mytilus galloprovincialis (Mediterranean mussel). The record is from RNAcentral. Lineage: Eukaryota; Metazoa; Mollusca; Bivalvia; Mytilida; Mytilidae.
CUGAAAGCAGUCAUCAUGACACAUUCCACUAAAUAUAUAACAACAAUUAUCAAACCAUCGUGUUCGGUUAUUUCAUCGGAGAUUCAAAUUAAAUGUCUUUUUUUAAAUGACGACAGAUAUAAACUUCAUGUAUCCGAUUUUAACUCUUAUGAGAAAAGAGGUUGCUUACAAAAGACAAAAGCAAAUUAUACUUAUAUAUGUAUAAGCCUAUGCCAC